UCGAGCGAGACUGCCUUGAAGAUCGGAGUGCUUGCACUCUGUGAAACAAGAUACAGGCUAGCGGCGGACGGGUGAGUAACACGUGGGUAACCUGCCCAAGAGAUCGGGAUAACACCUGGAAACAGAUGCUAAUACCGGAUAACAACAGAUGAUGCCUAUCAACUGUUUAAAAGAUGGUUCUGCUAUCACUCUUGGAUGGACCUGCGGUGCAUUAGCUAGUUGGUAGGGUAACGGCCUACCAAGGCGAUGAUGCAUAGCCGAGUUGAGAGACUGAUCGGCCACAUUGGGACUGAGACGCGGCCCAAACUCCUACGGGAGGCAGCAGUAGGGAAUCUUCCACAAUGGACGCAAGUCUGAUGGAGCAACGCCGCGUGAGUGAAGAAGGGUUUCGGCUCGUAAAGCUCUGCUGUUGGUGAAGAAGGACAGGGGUAGUAACUGACCUUUGUUUGACGGUAAUCAAUUAGAAAGUCACGGCUAACUACGUGCCAGCAGCCGCGGUAAUACGUAGGUGGCAAGCGUUGUCCGGAUUUAUUGGGCGUAAAGCGAGUGCAGGCGGCUCGAUAAGUCUGAUGUGAAAGCCUUCGGCUCAACCGGAGAAUUGCAUCAGAAACUGUCGAGCUUGAGUACAGAAGAGGAGAGUGGAACUCCAUGUGUAGCGGUGAAAUGCGUAGAUAUAUGGAAGAACACCGGUGGCGAAGGCGNNNCNCUGGUCUGUUACUGA
Molecule: ribosomal RNA, 721 nt
Filed under: uncultured bacterium
Lineage: Bacteria
Description: bacterial SSU rRNA
Rfam family: Bacterial small subunit ribosomal RNA
Source: RNAcentral